RNAcentral lists this long non-coding RNA (887 nucleotides) under Pan troglodytes (chimpanzee). Its description in RNAcentral is "long non-coding RNA NONPTRT017103". Lineage: Eukaryota; Metazoa; Chordata; Mammalia; Primates; Hominidae. The record is from RNAcentral.
GAGAGCUUAGGUGUCCUGUCUGAGAGUUCAGUGAACAGUGUCUUGGAAGAACCUGAGUAGAGUGUGUGUGAUAUCUUGGAAGGAUUAGAAAUUGGAGUAAUGAUCAUUUAUCUUGGUAAAAAGCCCUUAGCUUCUGUGUUAUUCACAGUUCUCCAGAGAGCAGACCAAUGGGAAAUAUAUCUAUAUCGAUAUAUGCAUAUAAAAUAAGAAAUUAGCUCAUGUGAUUAUGGAGGCUGAGAAAUCCCACGACCUGCCAUCUACAAGUUGGACUAGACUCUAAGCUCCUUGAACAAGGCAGACUAGGAAAGCUGGUGGUGUACUUCCAGUAUGAGCCCGAAGGCCUGAGAACUAGAGGAGCCAAUGGUGUAACUCCCAGUCUGAGUGCAGUAGAGGAUCAGAAGAGAUGUCCCAGCUCCAGCAGUGAGGGAGAAAAGAAGGACAAAUUCCUUCCUCUGCAUAUUGUUCUAUUCAGACCCUCAAUAGGUUAAAUGAUGCCCACUCUCAUUAAAGAGGACCAUCUACUUUACGGAACUGCUAAGUUUGACAUACAAAGGACCAAUGGGAUACAUUGCUGAUGAAGGAGAAGGAGGUCUAACCACUUUGAAAAACAAUUUGAAAUUCAACUGUGCAGAGAAAAUGACUGGUCAGGCCACUCACAGUGGGUCACUCUUGGAAUCCCUUGCUGAGGUGGGAGGACUGCUUGAGCUCAGGAGCUUGAGACCAACCUGGAAAACAUAAUGAGACUGAGACCUCGUCUCUUCUAAAAAGAAAAAAAAAUUAGCAGAGCACGGUGGCAUGUGCCUAUAGUCCCAGCUACUCUGGAGGGUGAGGCAUGAGGAUCAACUGAGCCCAGGAGUUGGAGGCUGCAGCAAGCUGUGAUCAUCACA